This 82-nucleotide ribosomal RNA is filed under the name Priestia megaterium. RNAcentral's name for it is "partial 23S ribosomal RNA". It matches the Rfam family "Bacterial large subunit ribosomal RNA", at positions 2843 to 2925 of the family's 2925-position model. The record is from RNAcentral. Lineage: Bacteria; Bacillati; Bacillota; Bacilli; Caryophanales; Bacillaceae. RNAcentral also lists the same sequence under 1 other name.
GAUGAUCAGGUUGAUAGGUCAGAGGUGGAAGCGUGGCGACAUGUGUAGCUGACUGAUACUAAUCGAUCGAGGACUUAACCAA